GGCCUCGUGGCCUAAUGGCUAAGGCGUCUGACUUCGAAUCAGAAGAUUGGGGGUUCGAGUCCCUUCGGGGUCG
This 73-nucleotide transfer RNA is filed under the name Mnemiopsis leidyi (sea walnut). RNAcentral's name for it is "tRNA-Arg for anticodon UCG". It matches the Rfam family "tRNA". Rfam says of the family: Transfer RNA (tRNA) molecules are approximately 80 nucleotides in length. Their secondary structure includes four short double-helical elements and three loops (D, anti-codon, and T loops). Lineage: Eukaryota; Metazoa; Ctenophora; Tentaculata; Lobata; Bolinopsidae. RNAcentral also lists the same sequence under 2 other names. The record is from RNAcentral.